This 1607-nucleotide ribosomal RNA is filed under the name Tetraogallus tibetanus (Tibetan snowcock). RNAcentral's name for it is "16S ribosomal RNA". It matches the Rfam family "Bacterial large subunit ribosomal RNA", at positions 264 to 2838 of the family's 2925-position model. Lineage: Eukaryota; Metazoa; Chordata; Aves; Galliformes; Phasianidae. The record is from RNAcentral.
UCCGCCCUCCCUCUAGCCCAACCAAUAACCUACAUAAAAACCCACCUCCCACACCUAACCAAAACAUUCUAACCUGUCAUAGUAUAGGCGAUAGAAAAGACCUUUGGCGCAAUAGAGACCGACCGUACCGUAAGGGAAAGAUGAAAUAACAAUGAAAACCAUCAAGCAAAAAGCAGUAAAGACCAACCCUUGUACCUCUUGCAUCAUGAUUUAGCAAGAACAACCAAGCAAAGCGAACUAAAGUUUGCCCCCCCGAAGCCCAAGCGAGCUACUUGCAAGCAGCUAAAAUUGAGCGAACCCGUCUCUGUCGCAAAAGAGUGGGACGACUUGCCAGUAGAGGUGAAAAGCCAACCGAGCUGGGUGAUAGCUGGUUACCUGCCAAACGAAUGUAAGUUCUCCCUUAACCCAUUCUCCAAGGACACUACACCUAACCCGUACACGUUAGGGUUAAGAGCAAUUCGACGGAGGUACAGCUCCUUCGAAAAAGAAUACAACCUCUCCCAGCGGAUAAUACACCCCUUCUCUCUCCCGUGGGCCUUCAAGCAGCCAUCAACAAAAGAGUGCGUCAAAGCUCCCCCAUUAAAAAUCUAAAAACCCAUCCGACUCCCUCACCCAAAGCAGGUUAACCUAUGAUAAUAGAAGAAUUAAUGCUAAAAUGAGUAACUUGGAGCCCUCCUCCCACAGCACAAACUUACAUCAAUAAAUUAUUAACAGCACAACUUAUACCACAAUCUCAACAAGAACCCGUAUUACAACCCAACCUGUUAAUCCAACCCAGGAGUGCUUAUAAGAUGAUUAUAAUCUGCAAAAGGAACUCGGCAAACCAAAGACCCGACUGUUUCCCAAAAACAUAGCCUUCAGCAACCAACAAGUAUUGAAGGUGAUGCCUGCCCAGUGACCCACAACGUUCAACGGCCGCGGUAUCCUAACCGUGCGAAGGUAGCGCAAUCAAUUGUCUCAUAAAUUGAGACUUGUAUGAAUGGCUAAACGAGGUCUUAACUGUCUCCUGCAGACAAUCAGUGAAAUUAGUAUUCCCGUGCAAAAACGAGAAUGUGACCAUAAGACGAGAAGACCCUGUGGAACUUUAAAAUCACGACCACCCUCCCACCAUCUCCCCUUCCCCACCGGGCCCACCCACAUUAAACCCCCUGGUCGACAUUUUUCGGUUGGGGCGACCUUGGAGAAAAACAAAUCCUCCAAAUCCACAGACCACAGCUCUUCACUAAGAGCCACCCCUCAAAGUACUAACAGUAAUCAGACCCAAUAUAAUUGACCAAUGGACCAAGCUACCCCAGGGAUAACAGCGCAAUCUCCUUCAAGAGCCCAUAUCGACAAGGAGGUUUACGACCUCGAUGUUGGAUCAGGACAACCUAAUGGUGCAGCAGCUAUUAAGGGUUCGUUUGUUCAACGAUUAACAGUCCUACGUGAUCUGAGUUCAGACCGGAGUAAUCCAGGUCGGUUUCUAUCUAUGAAUCUACUCCUCCUAGUACGAAAGGACCGGAGAAGUGGGGUCAAUACCACAAGCACACCCCCACCCUCUAAGCAGUGAACUCAACUCAACUGCCAAGAGACUCAACACCCACACCUAACUCCUAGAAAAGGAACAG